Molecule: non-coding RNA, 115 nt
Filed under: Bacillus sp. (in: firmicutes)
Lineage: Bacteria; Bacillati; Bacillota; Bacilli; Caryophanales; Bacillaceae
Also listed under: 1 other name
Description: Bacillus sp. SAM-I sequence
Rfam family: SAM riboswitch aptamer (S box leader)
About the family: The SAM riboswitch is found upstream of a number of genes which code for proteins involved in methionine or cysteine biosynthesis in Gram-positive bacteria. The SAM riboswitch acts at the level of transcription termination control. The predicted structure consists of a complex stem-loop region followed by a single stem loop terminator region.
Source: RNAcentral
UUCUUAUCCAGAGAGGCGGAGGGACUGGCCCGAUGAUGCCCGGCAACCAAUCACCUGUGUACAGGGGAUACUGGUGCUAAUUCCUGCAGAGUGUAAACGCUCUGAAAGAUGAGAA